GAUGAACGCUGGCGGCGUGCCUAAUACAUGCAAGUCGAACGAACAGACGCUGAGCUUGCUGCUUGCACGAUAGCGGCGCACGGGUGUGAAACAUGUGUAUAACGCACUUGAAUUUCUGGUAUAACUUCGGGAAACCGGCGCUAAUCCCGUAUAAUCUAUUGAUCCGCAUGGUUCGAUAGUGAAUGUCGGUUUUGGGGGCUCUUAUAGAUGGUUCCGCGCCGCAUUGGGUAGUAGGUAAGGUAACGGCUUACCAAGGCGACGAUGCGUAGCCGACGUGUGAGGGUGAUCGGCCGCCCUGGAGGGGGGACGCGGACCUGACUCCUACGAUAGGGCGCAGUAGGCAAUGGGCGGCAAUGGGCGGGAGCAUUGCGGAGCAACGCCGCGUGUGUGAUGACAGUGUUCGGUGCGUAAAACUGUGUUAUGAGGGAAAAACAAAUGUGUAAGUAACUAUGGCCGUAUUGACGGUACCGGAUCAGAAAGCCACGGCUAACUACGUG
RNAcentral lists this ribosomal RNA (497 nucleotides) under uncultured bacterium. Its description in RNAcentral is "partial 16S ribosomal RNA". It matches the Rfam family "Bacterial small subunit ribosomal RNA", at positions 28 to 507 of the family's 1533-position model. The record is from RNAcentral.